RNAcentral lists this transfer-messenger RNA (366 nucleotides) under Christensenellaceae. RNAcentral's name for it is "Scatosoma sp017623605 Standard tmRNA". It matches the Rfam family "transfer-messenger RNA". Rfam says of the family: Bacterial tmRNA, also known as 10Sa RNA or SsrA, is named for its dual tRNA and mRNA-like properties. Its role is to liberate the mRNA from a stalled ribosome. To accomplish this part of the tmRNA is used as a reading frame that ends in a translation stop signal. RNAcentral also lists the same sequence under 1 other name. The record is from RNAcentral. Lineage: Bacteria; Bacillati; Bacillota; Clostridia; Christensenellales.
GGGGGUGCACCGAAUUCGAUUGCAGGUGAGCGAAAGGAUAAGCAUACCGCAGACGGAAUGACUGCGAUAAAACGUUCCAACUAAAUUUAAAUGCAGAUAGAAAUGCAAACUACGCUUUAGCGGCGUAACUCGUUUUUUAAAACGAUCGUCGUGCCCGAUCUAUCCGUCGGUCGGGAUCGCGGCGUCAAUCAGACGGAAAAAUCUUUUUAAAAUCGGAAAGCGUUUUUCAAAGAUUAUUUAGCUUUCUGCGCCGUAUAAAGCGUGUUUACCCGCGUUAUACGGUUAAGAAAAAAAGAUAAACUAAGUAUGUAGAAAGUUUUUUGGCAGCCUUGUAAGACGUGAGUUUAACUCUCACCACCACCACCA